AGCAGUCGCCGCGGGAAUACGUAGGUGGCAAGCGUUGUCCGGAAUUAUUGGGCGUAAAGGGCUCGCAGGCGGUUUCUUAAGUCUGAUGUGAAAGCCCCCGGCUCAACCGGGGAGGGUCAUUGGAAACUGGGAAACUUGAGUGCAGAAGAGGAGAGUGGAAUUCCACGUGUAGCGGUGAAAUGCGUAGAGAUGUGGAGGAACACCAGUGGCGAGGGCGGCUUUUUGGCCUGUAACUGACACUGAGGCGCGAAAGCGUGGGGAGCAAACAGGAUUAGAUACCCGGGUAGUCCCUGUCUCUUAUAC
Molecule: ribosomal RNA, 303 nt
Filed under: uncultured bacterium
Lineage: Bacteria
Description: partial 16S ribosomal RNA
Rfam family: Bacterial small subunit ribosomal RNA
Source: RNAcentral